CAGUGGCGUAUGUUAAUUUUGCUGCAGUUGAAAAGCUCGUAGUUGGUGUAAUAGGUGUUUUUUUUUUAGGUUUUGUGGAGGUCCGUGUGGUUGUAGUUUUGGUGUUGCGUUUCUUCGGAGAUGCCCCCUCGACCCGUGAGUAUCCUUUUAUCCACAGCCCACCGAGUCGUGAUUUUGUCUUUCUCUCUCGAGUUUGACCGAAAUCACCCCACACUGUGAACAAAGUAGAGUGUUCCAAGCAGGCCGUAACGGGCCGGGAUAUUUCAGCAUGGAAUGGAGACUGGACUGAUGGUCGAGUCGCUGUGUGUAUGUAGCCGAGUGUCAGUAAUUGAUGAUAGGAACGGGAGCGGGGGUGCUCGUACGCGACGUCUACCGGUGAAAUGGAUUGACACGUUGCAGACGAACUAGUGCGAAAGCAUUCACCAAGUACGUGUCCUUUAA
RNAcentral lists this ribosomal RNA (441 nucleotides) under uncultured eukaryote. RNAcentral describes it as "partial 18S ribosomal RNA". It matches the Rfam family "Eukaryotic small subunit ribosomal RNA", at positions 592 to 976 of the family's 1831-position model. The record is from RNAcentral.